UGGACCCAGCCUCGUGGGAGCCCCGCGGGUCCUGCCCAGAUGUGGAAGACUGAGGCCUGUUGAAAGUGCAGAGCUCAGCCCUGGCACCCUCUGUUCCCAAGAGCUCCAUGCAGGUGCCACAGGAUGGAGAAGACCUUGCUGGCCAACCUUGGUACCACGGCCUCCUGUCCCGCCAGAAGCCUCCACCAUGCCCAUAUCUGCCUUGCCCCGAACGAGCAGUGACCCGGUGUUGCUGAAGGCCCCUGCUCCCCUGGGAACUGUUGCCGACAGUCUCAGGGCCUCCGAUGGGCAGCUUCAAGCCAAGGCACCAACGAAGCCCCCCCGGACACCCUCCUUCGAACUGCCUGAUGCCUCUGAACGUCCCCCGACGUACUGCGAGCUGGUGCCCCGAGUGCCCAGUGUCCAGGGAACAUCCCCGAGCCAAAGCUGCCCAGAGCCAGAGGCCCCAUGGUGGGAGGCCGAGGAGGAUGAGGAGGAAGAGAAUAGAUGUUUUACAAGACCACAGGCUGAGAUCUCUUUCUGCCCCCAUGAUGCCCCCUCCUGCCUGCUGGGCCCCCAGAAUCGGCCCCUGGAACCCCAAGUCCUG
Molecule: long non-coding RNA, 586 nt
Filed under: Homo sapiens (human)
Lineage: Eukaryota; Metazoa; Chordata; Mammalia; Primates; Hominidae
Description: non-protein coding lnc-SH2D3A-1:1
Source: RNAcentral